CGCGUAGGCGAUUCGAUAAGUCUCAUGUGAAAUCCCAGGGCCUAACCCUGGAAUGGCAUGGGAUACUGUUGGAUUUGAGUUCCGGAGAGGAAGGCAGAAUUCCCGGUGUAGCGGUGAAAUGCGUAGAUAUCGGGAGGAAUACCAGUGGCGAAGGCGGCCUUCUGGACGGAUACUGACGCUGAGGCGCGAAAGCUAGGGAGCAAACG
This 206-nucleotide ribosomal RNA is filed under the name uncultured bacterium. RNAcentral describes it as "partial 16S ribosomal RNA". It matches the Rfam family "Bacterial small subunit ribosomal RNA", at positions 568 to 774 of the family's 1533-position model. The record is from RNAcentral.